Molecule: non-coding RNA, 70 nt
Organism: Podarcis lilfordi (Lilford's wall lizard)
Lineage: Eukaryota; Metazoa; Chordata; Lepidosauria; Squamata; Lacertidae
Source: the annotation of a GenBank genome assembly
GGAUAGCUCAGUCAGUAAGAGCAGGAGACUCUUAAUCUCAGAAUCGUGGGUUUGAGCCCCAUGUUGGGCA